RNAcentral lists this ribosomal RNA (484 nucleotides) under uncultured bacterium. Its description in RNAcentral is "partial 16S ribosomal RNA". It matches the Rfam family "Bacterial small subunit ribosomal RNA", at positions 30 to 507 of the family's 1533-position model. The record is from RNAcentral.
AUUGAACGCUGGCGGCAUGCUUUACACAUGCAAGUCGAACGGCAGCGCGGGCUUCGGCCUUGCGGCGAGUGGCGAACGGGUGAGUAAUACAUCGGAACGUGCCCAGUAGUGGGGGAUAGCUCGGCGAAAGCCGGAUUAAUACCGCAUACGACCUGAGGGUGAAAGCGGGGGAUCUUCGGACCUCGCGCUAUUGGAUCGGCCGAUGGCAGAUUAGCUAGUUGGUGGGGUAAAGGCCUACCAAGGCGACGAUCUGUAGCUGGUCUGAGAGGACGACCAGCCACACUGGGACUGAGACACGGCCCAGACUCCUACGGGAGGCAGCAGUGGGGAAUUUUGGACAAUGGGCGAAAGCCUGAUCCAGCAAUGCCGCGUGUGUGAUGAAGGCCUUCGGGUUGUAAAGCACUUUUGGCGGGAACGAAAAGGACUGUGCCAAUACCACGGUUCGAUGACGGUACCAGCAGAAUAAGCACCGGCUAACUACGUG